CUGAGUUAGGGUUCCUCGUGAGCCCGACCUCCAACCCUUUGUUAAAACUACUUUGUUGCUUUGGCAGGCCCGUCUCUCGGGACCGCCGGAGGGGUUCAAUCACCUCUGGUCCGCUGCCUGCCAGUAGCCUAUUUAAAUUCUUCUUAACCAUGUCGUCUGAAUCUUUAAUUAAAAUUAAUUA
This 181-nucleotide unclassified non-coding RNA is filed under the name uncultured Eurotiomycetes. RNAcentral describes it as "sequence contains ITS1". Lineage: Eukaryota; Fungi; Ascomycota; Eurotiomycetes. The record is from RNAcentral.